This 767-nucleotide ribosomal RNA is filed under the name uncultured bacterium. Its description in RNAcentral is "bacterial SSU rRNA". It matches the Rfam family "Bacterial small subunit ribosomal RNA", at positions 28 to 776 of the family's 1533-position model. The record is from RNAcentral.
GACGAACGCUGGCGGCGUGCCUAAUACAUGCAAGUCGAGCGAAGUUUUUCUGGUGCUUGCACUGGAAAAACUUAGCGGCGAACGGGUGAGUAACACGUAAAGAACCUGCCUCAUAGACUGGGACAACUAUUGGAAACGAUAGCUAAUACCGGAUAACAGCAUUAACUGCAUGGUUGAUGUUUAAAAGUUGGUUUUGCUAACACUAUGAGAUGGCUUUGCGGUGCAUUAGCUAGUUGGUGGGUAAAGGCCUACCAAGGCGACGAUGCAUAGCCGACCUGAGAGGGUGAUCGGCCACACUGGGACUGAGACACGGCCCAGACUCCUACGGGAGGCAGCAGUAGGGAAUCUUCCGCAAUGGGCGAAAGCCUGACGGAGCAACGCCGCGUGAGUGAAGAAGGAUUUCGGUUCGUAAAGCUCUGUUGUUAGGGAAGAAUGAUUGUGUAGUAACUAUACACAGUAGAGACGGUACCUAACCAGAAAGCCACGGCUAACUACGUGCCAGCAGCCGCGGUAAUACGUAGGUGGCAAGCGUUGUCCGGAAUUAUUGGGCGUAAAGCGCGCGCAGGUGGUUUAAUAAGUCUGAUGUGAAAGCCCACGGCUCAACCGUGGAGGGUCAUUGGAAACUGUUAAACUUGAGUGCAGGAGAGAAAAGUGGAAUUCCUAGUGUAGCGGUGAAAUGCGUAGAGAUUAGGAGGAACACCAGUGGCGAAGGCGGCUUUUUGGCCUGUAACUGACACUGAGGCGCGAAAGCGUGGGGAGCAAACAGG